This 447-nucleotide ribosomal RNA is filed under the name uncultured bacterium. RNAcentral's name for it is "bacterial SSU rRNA". It matches the Rfam family "Bacterial small subunit ribosomal RNA", at positions 329 to 793 of the family's 1533-position model. The record is from RNAcentral.
GACCAGACUCCUACGGGAGGCAGCAGUGGGGGAUAUUGUACAAUGGGGGGAACCCUGAUGCAGCGACGCCGCGUGGGUGAAGAAGCGCCUCGGCGCGUAAAGCCCUUUCAGCAGGGAAGAAAAUGACGGUACCUGAAGAAGAAGCCCCGGCUAACUACGUGCCAGCAGCCGCGGUAAUACGUAGGGGGCAAGCGUUAUCCGGAUUUACUGGGUGUAAAGGGAGCGUAGACGGCAUGGCAAGCCAGAUGUGAAAUACCGGGGCUCAACCCCCGAACUGCAUUUGAAACUGUUGGUCUUGAGUAUCGGAGAGGCAGGCGGAAUUCCUAGUGUAGCGGUGAAAUGCGUAGAUAUUAGGAGGAACACCGGUGGCGAAGGCGGCCUGCUGGACUGCAACUGACGUUGAGGCCCGAAAGCGUGGGGAGCAAACAGGAUUAGAUACCCUAGUAA